This 315-nucleotide small RNA is filed under the name Vigna angularis var. angularis. RNAcentral describes it as "Non-protein coding transcript". Lineage: Eukaryota; Viridiplantae; Streptophyta; Magnoliopsida; Fabales; Fabaceae. The record is from RNAcentral.
CUGUUAUUGCGUAUUACAAUCGUUGGAUGCAAAAAUGGCCCACCAUUUACCAUCUUGCACAAGCUUCUCUCGAGGAAGUAAAUGAGAUGUGGGCAGGUUUGGGCUACUACCGAAGAGCUCGUUUUCUCCUAGAGGUGCUUCCUCAUGACAAUUGACUUGUGUUUUCAUCUCCUUCUCCUGUUUAUCUUUUACUAGAUCCUACAAGUUACCCUAAUGGUCAAUUUGAGAUUGUUUUUGAAAUAGUUAAUUAUGGUGUUAAACCUUCUUCAUUAUGUAGUUUCUGUCUUCUUAGUAAAAGCAGCAAAAAGGCAAGGC